GUGUUUCAAUGUACUGUGUUUUCCUGAAAUUCUUCUGUCUUGGUGCGCUCUUCAUUUUGAUACGUCAAGACUGAUACUUAGUUGUUAGUUUACUAGAUUCUGUAUCCUCUCCACGAAUUAAGAGUUUUUCUGCGGCACUCAGUGUCAGUACAGAAACAUCACUGAUUAUUUCCGUGUUUCCUGCUGACCUUUAAAUAUCACUUCUAAAUAGACUUCAGGAAUUUUGAAGAUACCAAUGCUGUCUCUUAAAGUGACAGAUAGUACUGAUUUUUUUUCCACCGUUCCACCUUCUCUACCCUCGUAUUCAUACUCUAGUGCUUUAAAAAAAAAAAAACUAAUUUAGUAACUAACUCCUUCUGGGAGAAUUACCAGUUGGUUCUUGAAUUGAAUCAUUAUAGUUCUGUCUUAUUUGGGGUUUAAUUAUGUAAGCUGUUUUCAAGUCUUUUCUGGAGAUAAUGGUGUGUUAAUAUAAAAUAAAUCACUAAUGUGUAAAUUCUAGGUACUAGUACAUUACUGUUAACAAGAUCAAUUUGAUUCCUUCAUUGUCAUAUUAGGAUAUAUGAAUUUCAGGGGCGCCUGGGUGGCUCAGUCAGUUAAGUGUCCGACUUCGGCUCAGGUCAUGAUCUUGCGGUCCGUGAGUUUGAGCCCCACAUUGGGCUCUGUGCUGAUAGCUCAGAGCCUGGAGCCUGCUUCAGAUUCUGUGCCUCCUUCUCUCCCUGCACUUCCCCCACUUGCCCUCUCUCUCUCUCUCUCUCUCUCUCUCUCUCUCCCAAAAAUAAAUAAACAUUAAAGAAAAAUUUAAAAGAAAGAAAAGGAUGUACAAAUUUCAGCAACAAGUGGUUCCAGCACCAGGGCGCUGGGUCUCCAGUGUCUCACUCUUACCUUACUUGCUGUUACGCAUACCUUUGUUCUGUGUUUCUUAACAGUCACACGGAACUGUAAUUCUAGAGAUCCAAAGGCAUGGAUUUUAUUAGCUGGGAAAGCAUUUAAUGUACUAGUCUGGGAGUAUAGAGACUUCGCCCCAAGUUCCCAGACAGUUUUAGACUCAGUGGAGAGCUUCAGUUUCAAACACUGACAGGAGAAACCACACUAAUUGGCGCUGUGGGGAAAAGGUGUAGAGAGAGAGCCCGGGGAGGCUUCUUUUCGAGAGUCUUCUGGGAUUCUUUCAUAUUGAGUUCCCUUCAGUGGAGCUGCUUAAGGACAGUCUCAUGACCCUUGAAAUGGAGAUGUUGAAGUGAACAGGGGAUUCAACUAAGGCCCUGCUCGACACAGUGGUGGUCCUGCAGCUAGAAAAUUUGUAAUAUCAUUUGGGGCUUAAAAGUGGCAUUGGGAUAAGUUAUUUUGCAGCGAGGUUUAUUUAUAUACUAAGCUUUUCCUAUUACCAGUGUGAAAUAAGGAAAGGAAAUUAAAAGAGACCAGGUCCUAUUGGAAGAGAAUUUGAUCAAGACUGGAAGGAGCAGUCACUAGAGAAAGGUCAUGUAUGUGAUUGGGUGGCCAAGUAAAA
Acinonyx jubatus (cheetah) is the source of this 1504-nucleotide long non-coding RNA. RefSeq lists it as uncharacterized. The transcript is spliced from 2 exons. The record is from RefSeq and is a predicted model, not a curated record. Lineage: Eukaryota; Metazoa; Chordata; Mammalia; Carnivora; Felidae.